AGUGAACGCUGGCGGUAGGCCUAACACAUGCAAGUCGAACGGCAGCACAGUAAGAGCUUGCUCUUACGGGUGGCGAGUGGCAGACGGGUGAGGAAUACAUCGGAAUCUACUUUUUCGUGGGGGAUAACGUAGGGAAACUUACGCUAAUACCGCAUACGACCUACGGGUGAAAGCAGGGGAUCUUCGGACCUUGCGCGAUUGAAUGAGCCGAUGUCGGAUUAGCUAGUUGGCGGGGUAAAGGCCCACCAAGGCGACGACCCGUAGCUGGUCUGAGAGGAUGAUCAGCCACACUGGAACUGAGACACGGUCCAGACUCCUACGGGAGGCAGCAGUGGGGAAUAUUGGACAAUGGGCGCAAGCCUGAUCCAGCCAUACCGCGUGGGUGAAGAAGGCCUUCGGGUUGUAAAGCCCUUUUGUUGGGAAAGAAAAGCAGCAGGUUAAUACCCCGCUGUUCUGACGGUACCCAAAGAAUAAGCACCGGCUAACUUCGUG
RNAcentral lists this ribosomal RNA (492 nucleotides) under uncultured bacterium. Its description in RNAcentral is "partial 16S ribosomal RNA". It matches the Rfam family "Bacterial small subunit ribosomal RNA", at positions 29 to 507 of the family's 1533-position model. The record is from RNAcentral.